RNAcentral lists this unclassified non-coding RNA (299 nucleotides) under Hevea brasiliensis (rubber tree). Lineage: Eukaryota; Viridiplantae; Streptophyta; Magnoliopsida; Malpighiales; Euphorbiaceae. The record is from RNAcentral.
GGCCACCGAGCGCGUCAUUGACGCGAAUAUCGCCGAAAGGCUGCAAUGCAAGGUUCUCGCCGAGGGCGCGAACGGUCCCACCACACCCGACGCCGAUCUCGUGCUCGAAAAGCGCCAGGACGAAAUUUUCCUGAUCCCGGACAUUCUCUGCAAUGCCGGUGGUGUCGUGGUCAGCUAUUUUGAAUGGGUUCAGGAUCUGCAGCAACUGUUCUGGGAAGAAGAAGAGGUGAUGCGGCGCGAGUAUCAGAUUCUCGACCGCGCGUUCGAUCAGAUGGCUGUACGCGCGAAACGCGAUAAAA